GGAGGGAUGGCCGAGUUGGUGAAGGCAGUCGCCUAAUAAGCGACCAAAACGCUUUGCGUUUCGCGGGUUCGAGCCCCCGCUCCCCUA
This 87-nucleotide transfer RNA is filed under the name Micrococcus luteus. Its description in RNAcentral is "tRNA-Ile". It matches the Rfam family "tRNA". Rfam says of the family: Transfer RNA (tRNA) molecules are approximately 80 nucleotides in length. Their secondary structure includes four short double-helical elements and three loops (D, anti-codon, and T loops). Further hydrogen bonds mediate the characteristic L-shaped molecular structure. tRNAs have two regions of fundamental functional importance: the anti-codon, which is responsible for specific mRNA codon recognition, and the 3' end, to which the tRNAs corresponding amino acid is attached (by aminoacyl-tRNA synthetases). tRNAs cope with the degeneracy of the genetic code in two manners: having more than one tRNA (with a specific anti-codon) for a particular amino acid; and 'wobble' base-pairing, i.e. permitting non-standard base-pairing at the 3rd anti-codon position. Lineage: Bacteria; Bacillati; Actinomycetota; Actinomycetes; Micrococcales; Micrococcaceae. The record is from RNAcentral.